GUGAUGGGGGACACUGUUGGGACCGCCUCUGCUAAAGAGGAGGAAGGAAUGGGCAACGGUAGGUCAGCAUGCCCCGAAUUAUCUGGGCUACACGCGGGCUACAAUGGGUGGGACAAUGGGUAUCGACACCGAAAGGUGAAGGCAAUCUCCUAAACCCAUCCGUAGUUCGGAUUGUGGGCUGCAACUCGCCCACAUGAAGCUGGAAUCUGUAGUAAUCGUGUCUCAAAAUGGCACGGUGAAUAUGUCCCUGCUCCUU
This 256-nucleotide ribosomal RNA is filed under the name uncultured Methanomicrobiales archaeon. Its description in RNAcentral is "partial 16S ribosomal RNA". It matches the Rfam family "Archaeal small subunit ribosomal RNA", at positions 1083 to 1338 of the family's 1478-position model. The record is from RNAcentral. Lineage: Archaea; Methanobacteriati; Methanobacteriota; Methanomicrobia; Methanomicrobiales.